Molecule: ribosomal RNA, 451 nt
Filed under: uncultured bacterium
Lineage: Bacteria
Description: partial 16S ribosomal RNA
Rfam family: Bacterial small subunit ribosomal RNA
Source: RNAcentral
GUGGGGAAUAUUGGACAAUGGGGGGAACCCUGAUCCAGCCAUGCCGCGUGUGUGAAGAAGGCCUUUUGGUUGUAAAGCACUUUAAGCGAGGAGGAGGCUACAGAGAUUAAUACUCUUGGAUAGUGGACGUUACUCGCAGAAUAAGCACCGGCUAACUCUGUGCCAGCAGCCGCGGUAAUACAGAGGGUGCAAGCGUUAAUCGGAUUUACUGGGCGUAAAGCGCGCGUAGGUGGCCAAUUAAGUCAAAUGUGAAAUCCCCGAGCUUAACUUGGGAAUUGCAUUCGAUACUGGUUGGCUAGAGUAUGGGAGAGGAUGGUAGAAUUCCAGGUGUAGCGGUGAAAUGCGUAGAGAUCUGGAGGAAUACCGAUGGCGAAGGCAGCCAUCUGGCCUAAUACUGACACUGAUGUGCGAAAGCAUGGGGAGCAAACAGGAUUAGAAACCCGUGUAGUCC